This 819-nucleotide ribosomal RNA is filed under the name uncultured bacterium. RNAcentral's name for it is "bacterial SSU rRNA". It matches the Rfam family "Bacterial small subunit ribosomal RNA", at positions 28 to 896 of the family's 1533-position model. The record is from RNAcentral.
AACGAACGCUGGCGGCAGGCCUAACACAUGCAAGUCGAGCGCACCUUCGGGUGAGCGGCGGACGGGUUAGUAACGCGUGGGAAUAUGCCCUUCACUACGGAAUAGCCUCGGGAAACUGAGAGUAAUACCGUAUACGCCCUUCGGGGGAAAGAUUUAUCGGUGAAGGAUUAGCCCGCGUCUGAUUAGAUAGUUGGUGGGGUAACGGCCUACCAAGUCUACGAUCAGUAGCUGGUUUGAGAGGAUGAUCAGCAACACUGGGACUGAGACACGGCCCAGACUCCUACGGGAGGCAGCAGUGGGGAAUCUUAGACAAUGGGCGCAAGCCUGAUCUAGCCAUGCCGCGUGAGUGACGAAGGCCUUAGGGUCGUAAAGCUCUUUCGCCAGAGAUGAUAAUGACAGUAUCUGGUAAAGAAACCCCGGCUAACUCCGUGCCAGCAGCCGCGGUAAUACGGAGGGGGUUAGCGUUGUUCGGAAUUACUGGGCGUAAAGCGUACGUAGGCGGGUUGGAAAGUUGGGGGUGAAAUCCCGGGGCUCAACCCCGGAACUGCCUCCAAAACUAUCAGUCUAGAGUUCGAGAGAGGUGAGUGGAAUUCCAAGUGUAGAGGUGAAAUUCGUAGAUAUUUGGAGGAACACCAGUGGCGAAGGCGGCUCACUGGCUCGAUACUGACGCUGAGGUACGAAAGUGUGGGGAGCAAACAGGAUUAGAUACCCUGGUAGUCCACACCGUAAACGAUGAAUGCCAGACGUCGGGGGGCUUGCCCUUCGGUGUCACACCUAACGGAUUAAGCAUUCCGCCUGGGGAGUACGGUCGCAAGAUUA